AUAUUCUGGUUUCUCUUCAGAUUAUAUAAAUCUUUCACCUUUUACUAAAGAUUUCAGUGGAGAGCAACAACUCUGAGUCUUAAACCAUUUUUUUUAAGCCUUGUCUUUUGCAAGGCC
This is a small nuclear RNA of Octodon degus (degu), 117 nucleotides long. Its record names the gene U5. It matches the Rfam family "U5 spliceosomal RNA". From Rfam's summary of the family: U5 RNA is a component of both types of known spliceosome. The precise function of this molecule is unknown, though it is known that the 5' loop is required for splice site selection and p220 binding, and that both the 3' stem-loop and the Sm site are important for Sm protein binding and cap methylation. NCBI's taxonomy places the organism in Eukaryota, Metazoa, Chordata, Mammalia, Rodentia, Octodontidae. The record is from Ensembl.